Molecule: ribosomal RNA, 253 nt
Filed under: uncultured bacterium
Lineage: Bacteria
Description: partial 16S ribosomal RNA
Rfam family: Bacterial small subunit ribosomal RNA
Source: RNAcentral
UACGUAGGGGGCAAGCGUUGUCCGGAUUUAUUGGGCGUAAAGAGCGUGUAGGCGGCUUUACAGGUCCGUUGUGAAAACUCGAGGCUCAACCUCGAGACGCCGGUGGAAACCGUAAAGCUAGAGUCCGGAAGAGGAGAGUGGAAUUCCUGGUGUAGCGGUGAAAUGCGCAGAUAUCAGGAAGAACACCCGUGGCGAAGGCGGCUCUCUGGGACGGUACUGACGCUGAGGCACGAAGGUCAGGGGAGCAAACGGG